RNAcentral lists this ribosomal RNA (141 nucleotides) under Candidatus Zambryskibacteria bacterium RIFCSPLOWO2_02_FULL_44_12b. Its description in RNAcentral is "partial 16S ribosomal RNA". It matches the Rfam family "Bacterial small subunit ribosomal RNA", at positions 1340 to 1490 of the family's 1533-position model. Lineage: Bacteria; Candidatus Zambryskiibacteriota. The record is from RNAcentral.
AAUCGCGGGUCAGCUAUACCGCGGUGAAUACGUUCUCAAGUCUUGUACUCACCGCCCGUCAAGUCAGGGAAGUUGGGAGUACUCAAAAUCCCCACAUUUCGUGGGGCCUACGGUAAACUCAAUGACAAGGACUAAGUCGUA